GACAGAGUGAGACCCUGUCUCAAAAAAAAGAAAAUGCCUCCCACCCCAUAGCUCCAUCUUCAGACUCAGCCACUUAUCUCUGGGGAGUCGUUCACGCCUACUGAGGAGCAUGUGUUGGUGGUGCGCCUGCUGCUGAAGCACCUGCACGCCUUUGCCAACAGCCUGAAGCCAGAGCAGGCCUCACUCUCCGCCCACUCCCACGCCACCAGCCC
RNAcentral lists this long non-coding RNA (212 nucleotides) under Pan troglodytes (chimpanzee). RNAcentral describes it as "long non-coding RNA NONPTRT010761". Lineage: Eukaryota; Metazoa; Chordata; Mammalia; Primates; Hominidae. The record is from RNAcentral.